CGUUGAUCUAAGGGACAGCAACAUUAAAGAAACUACUACGGCUUUUUUUUUUUAAAUCUUUCAAUCAUUUUAGUCUUUACCUGAGUCGGGUUUGGACCUCCUCAUAGAAGGGAAAAGUUCAUCAUGAGAGUUCAGACGGAGCAGUCUGGGUUGGUCGCUUCUCUCUCCAUGCUUUGGAGGAAUGAAAGGAUAUCUAGAAAAAACGUGUCGGACGAGUGUUCCGAGGCCCCGGCUUCCACGACCACACGUUACUGUGACACAACACACGUCCGGCCGCCGAUACAGCUUCACCUGCCGUUACAGGUGGGACCUCCAGCCUGCGGGAAGCCUGCAACAGCAGCCUACCUGCAGCAUAACCGAGAUGUUGACAAGGACAUCCCAGCUGUGAACCCUCGACCAAAAGGAUCCAGCAGUUUAAUUUUAGCCAGAAACACGCACUGGAUUCAAAGGGGACUUGCAGAUGAGCUUAGAAGGUAAAAAAUUGGUUUCCAGUGACCUGUGGCCUCUACAGUCCGACAUGUGUGCAUUCAUGCUGUAACAUCUGUCCCGUGAGACAGGAAGGCUGGAAGAUCUCCGCCUUCCCUUCCUCUUCCAACAUGUCUGUUACACAGCCAGCAUACCAGCAUCAAAAGAGGAGAGACCCAGGACACCCAAAGAAACACAUCAGAAGGCCAAGUGAAGCUCUCGAGUUUUUUUUUCUGCUCAUAGCCUCUGCUUGGCUUGUUCCAUUGAUUAAAAUAAUUCUCGACUUUCGUUUUGUCCCUUUGAAUUGGUCUGCUUGCAUAUAGAAGAGCAGCGUUCUGCCACUUAACUUAUGUACCAUUUUUGUCAUCAACACGCGAAUACAAAUAAAGUUGGAGAUCAACCCAGUGGCCUGU
Molecule: long non-coding RNA, 878 nt
Filed under: Lepisosteus oculatus (spotted gar)
Lineage: Eukaryota; Metazoa; Chordata; Actinopteri; Semionotiformes; Lepisosteidae
Description: lncRNA (ENSLOCG00000021520.1)
Source: RNAcentral